RNAcentral lists this unclassified non-coding RNA (257 nucleotides) under uncultured SAR86 cluster bacterium. Its description in RNAcentral is "16S-23S ribosomal RNA intergenic spacer". Lineage: Bacteria; Pseudomonadati; Pseudomonadota; Gammaproteobacteria. The record is from RNAcentral.
AACGAAACUUUUCGUACUAGAAGACCCACACGAGUAAUCAAAUAUAUUAAAAGAAGUUAUUUAUAAGUUUUGGUAUGUAAUUUUCUAGUGUAUAAAUCUUUAAGAUAUAUACACCAGUGUCAUAUCUUUUUUAAAGAUAUGUACACGAUAGAUCACUGCAUUUAAUAGAAGAAAAAUUUUAUUAAGUUAUUCUCAAACAAUAACAAAAAAAACUUAGUCUGCAAUAAAAAGGUCGACUAAGUAUAUAACCCUUUUUU